UCCCAGACUCCUACGGGAGGCAGCAGUGGGGAAUAUUGCACAAUGGGGGAAACCCUGAUGCAGCAACGCCGCGUGAGUGAGGAAGUAUUUCGGUAUGUAAAGCUCUAUCAGCAGGGAAUAGAAAAGAAGGUACCUGAAAAAGAAGCCCCGGCUAACUACGUGCCAGCAGCCGCGGUAAUACGUAGGGGGCAAGCGUUAUCCGGAUUCACUGGGUGUAAAGGGAGCGUAGACGGCCAUGCAAGCCAGGGGUGAAAGCCCGGGGCCCAACCCCGGGGCUGCAUUGGGAACUGCCAGGCUGGAGUGCCGGAGAGGCAGGCGGAAUUCCUAGUGUAGCGGUGAAAUGCGUAGAUAUUAGGAGGAACACCAGUGGCGAAGGCGGCCUGCUGGACGGUGACUGACGCUGAGGCUCGAAAGCGUGGGGAGCAAACAGGAUUAGAUACCCGUGUAC
Molecule: ribosomal RNA, 448 nt
Filed under: uncultured bacterium
Lineage: Bacteria
Description: bacterial SSU rRNA
Rfam family: Bacterial small subunit ribosomal RNA
Source: RNAcentral